This 162-nucleotide microRNA precursor is filed under the name Rehmannia glutinosa. RNAcentral describes it as "miR5141 stem-loop (rgl-MIR5141)". The record is from miRBase by way of RNAcentral. Lineage: Eukaryota; Viridiplantae; Streptophyta; Magnoliopsida; Lamiales; Orobanchaceae.
UUGAGUAAUGCCUGAGUCGCAGCAUCAAGGUCUGAGCCAAAUUGAGCAAAGGCGGCCACUUCGCGAUAUUGUGCCAAUUCCAGUUUUGAACUACCGCAUACUUGUUUCAUAGCUUUCAACUGAGCGGCAGACCCGACGCGACUGACAGAUAAGCCGACGUUA